AUUGUUUUUUGUGACCUAGCUUUGGAAGUCAUAAUUCAUAAAUGAAGCCAUAAUUCAUUGGUUAAAGUAGUCACAUACAUGCCCAGAUUCAGGGAUGGGGGCAUAGAAUUUGCCCCAUCUUUUAGUGUUCAGUUUACCAUGAACACUAAGAUUGUGUGUGAAUUCUGGAAGCCAUUCCUCCGACAUUAUAAGCAGCCUUUCAUCAUGGUUGAGUUCUCUCUGGGUUCAAAUUCUGACUCUGCCACUUACCCUGUGGAAGCUACUUAAAGUUCCUGUGUCUCGGACUCCUCGUUGUUUUCAGAAGAAAAAGAACAUAAAUCUCAGAGAUCACCAAAGAAGCAUAUCUCAGUGGCUGAAAUAAACACCUCAAUUAAACCAUU
Non-coding RNA from Macaca mulatta (Rhesus monkey), 380 nucleotides. The record is from RefSeq and is a predicted model, not a curated record. Lineage: Eukaryota; Metazoa; Chordata; Mammalia; Primates; Cercopithecidae.